GACAGAGGGUGCAACCGUUGUUCGGAAUUACUGGGCGUAAAGCGCAUGUAGGCGGCCUAGCAGGUCGGAUGUGAAAUCCCUCGGCUCAACCAAGGAAGUGCAUUCGAAACCGCAAGGCUGGAGUCCCGGAGAGGAUGGUGGAAUUCUCGGCGUAGAGGUGAAAUUCGUAGAUAUCGAGAGGAACACCGGCGGCGAAGGCGGCCAUCUGGACGAGGACUGACGCUGAGAUGCGAAAGCGUGGGGAGCAAACAGG
Molecule: ribosomal RNA, 253 nt
Filed under: uncultured bacterium
Lineage: Bacteria
Description: partial 16S ribosomal RNA
Rfam family: Bacterial small subunit ribosomal RNA
Source: RNAcentral